RNAcentral lists this ribosomal RNA (363 nucleotides) under uncultured bacterium. RNAcentral describes it as "bacterial SSU rRNA". It matches the Rfam family "Bacterial small subunit ribosomal RNA", at positions 8 to 353 of the family's 1533-position model. The record is from RNAcentral.
AGAGUUUGAUCCUGGCUCAGGAUGAACGCUAGCUACAGGCUUAACGACAUGCAAGUCGAGGGGGAAACGACAUCGAAAAGCUUAGCUUUUUGAUUGGGCGUCGACCGGCGCACGGGUGAGUAACGCGUAUCCAACCUGCCCACCACUUGGGGAUAACCUUGCGAAGUAAGACUAAUACCCAAUGAUAUCUCUAGAAGACAUCUGAAAGAGAUUAAAGAUUCAUCGGUGAUGGAUGGGGAUGCGUCUGAUUAGCUUGUUGGCGGGGUAACGGGCCCACCAAGGCAACGAUCAGUAGGGGUUCUGAGAGGAAGGUCCCCCACCAUUGGAACUGAGACACGGUCCAAACUCCUACGGGAGGCAGCA